RNAcentral lists this ribosomal RNA (497 nucleotides) under uncultured bacterium. RNAcentral's name for it is "partial 16S ribosomal RNA". It matches the Rfam family "Bacterial small subunit ribosomal RNA", at positions 28 to 507 of the family's 1533-position model. The record is from RNAcentral.
GAUGAACGCUGGCGGCGUGCCUAAUACAUGCAAGUCGAGCGAACAGACGAGGAGCUUGCUCCUCUGACGUUAGCGGCGGACGGGUGAGUAACACGUGGAUAACCUACCUAUAAGACUGGGAUAACUUCGGGAAACCGGAGCUAAUACCGGAUAAUAUAUUGAACCGCAUGGUUCAAUAGUGAAAGACGGUUUUGCUGUCACUUAUAGAUGGAUCCGCGCCGCAUUAGCUAGUUGGUAAGGUAACGGCUUACCAAGGCAACGAUGCGUAGCCGACCUGAGAGGGUGAUCGGCCACACUGGAACUGAGACACGGUCCAGACUCCUACGGGAGGCAGCAGCAGGGAAUCUUCCGCAAUGGGCGAAAGCUUGACGGAGCAACGCCGCGUGAGUGAUGAAGGUCUUCGGAUCGUAAAACUCUGUUAUUAGGGAAGAACAAAUGUGUAAGUAACUAUGCACGUCUUGACGGUACCUAAUCAGAAAGCCACGGCUAACUACGUG